AGAUUGAACGCUAGCGGGGUGCUUUACACAUGCAAGUCGAACGGCAGCGCGGACUUCGGUCUGGCGGCGAGUGGCGAACGGGUGAGUAAUAUAUCGGAACGUGCCCAGUAGCGGGGGAUAACUACGCGAAAGCGUGGCUAAUACCGCAUACGCCCUACGGGGGAAAGGGGGGGAUUCUUCGGAACCUCUCACUAUUGGAGCGGCCGAUAUCAGAUUAGCUAGUUGGUGAGGUAAAGGCUCACCAAGGCGACGAUCUGUAGCUGGUUUGAGAGGACGACCAGCCACACUGGGACUGAGACACGGCCCAGACUCCUACGGGAGGCAGCGAGGUGGGAAUUUGGACAAGUGGGGGAAACCCUGACUCCGAGCCAUCCCGCGUGUGCGAGUGAACGGCCGUUACGGGUUACGUAAGGUCGUACGUUUUCGGACGAAGGAACGAAACGGCGU
RNAcentral lists this ribosomal RNA (447 nucleotides) under uncultured soil bacterium. Its description in RNAcentral is "bacterial SSU rRNA". It matches the Rfam family "Bacterial small subunit ribosomal RNA", at positions 26 to 487 of the family's 1533-position model. The record is from RNAcentral.